GGGUGGCGAGUGGCGGACGGGUGAGGAAUACAUCGGAAUCUACUUUUUCGUGGGGGAUAACGUAGGGAAACUUACGCUAAUACCGCAUACGACCUACGGGUGAAAGCAGGGGACCUUCGGGCCUUGCGCGAUUGAAUGAGCCGAUGUCGGAUUAGCUAGUUGGCGGGGUAAAGGCCCACCAAGGCGACGAUCCGUAGCUGGUCUGAGAGGAUGAUCAGCCACACUGGAACUGAGACACGGUCCAGACUCCUACGGGAGGCAGCAGUGGGGAAUAUUGGACAAUGGGCGCAAGCCUGAUCCAGCCAUACCGCGUGGGUGAAGAAGGCCUUCGGGUUGUAAAGCCCUUUUGUUGGGAAAGAAAUCCAGCCGGCUAAUACCUGGUUGGGAUGACGUACCCAAAGAAUAAGCAC
Molecule: ribosomal RNA, 410 nt
Filed under: Stenotrophomonas maltophilia
Lineage: Bacteria; Pseudomonadati; Pseudomonadota; Gammaproteobacteria; Lysobacterales; Lysobacteraceae
Description: bacterial SSU rRNA
Rfam family: Bacterial small subunit ribosomal RNA
Source: RNAcentral